CGUAGGGUGCAAGCGUUGUCCGGAAUUAUUGGGCGUAAAGAGCUCGUAGGCGGUUUGUUGCGUCGGCUGCGAAAUCCCGAGGCUCAACCUCGGGUCUGCAGUCGAUACGAGCAAACUAGAGUGUUGCAGGGGAGACUGGAAUUCCUGGUGUAGCGGUGAAAUGCGCAGAUAUCAGGAGGAACACCGGUGGCGAAGGCGGGUCUCUGGGCAACAACUGACGCUGAGGAGCGAAAGCGUGGGGAGCGAACAGGAUUAGAUACCCUGGUAGUCCACGCCGUAAACGUUGGGCGCUAGGUGUGGGGCUCAUUCCACGAGUUCCGUGCCGCAGCUAACGCAUUAAGCGCCCCGCCUGGGGAGUACGGCCGCAAGGCUA
RNAcentral lists this ribosomal RNA (373 nucleotides) under uncultured organism. RNAcentral describes it as "bacterial SSU rRNA". It matches the Rfam family "Bacterial small subunit ribosomal RNA", at positions 526 to 896 of the family's 1533-position model. The record is from RNAcentral.